RNAcentral lists this ribosomal RNA (621 nucleotides) under Triticum aestivum (bread wheat). RNAcentral describes it as "partial small subunit ribosomal RNA". The record is from RNAcentral. Lineage: Eukaryota; Viridiplantae; Streptophyta; Magnoliopsida; Poales; Poaceae.
AUGAGGGAGAAAUACCGUGGCCCGGAGCAAGUCCACGCCGCAAAUGGAGAAGGUAUGAGAAUUAGUCAUAUUGGUCACUCAAUUAUUAAAACCCCUCACCGAAAAAUCCAUCUUAGAAAAAUAUUGCAUGUCCCUAGAGCUUCCAUGAAUCUCCUUUCAGUUCAUCGCAUUGCCAUUGAUAACCAUGUCUUUCUUGAGUUUCACCCCUAUUUCUUUUUGAUUCGAGAUCAGGUCACGAAGAAAAUCCUCUAUCGAGGUAGAUGCGUUCGAGGGCUAUAUCCGUUGAUUCCCGAGCUUAGGAGAUUCAAUAAAACAACAUGUGUUGUCACCAAGUUAUCUUCAACCCGGUGGCAUGAUCGUCUAGGGCAUGCAUCUUUUUCUUUAGUAGAACGAGUGCUUAGGAAAAAUAAGCUCCCAUAUGUUGGAGAGCGUAAUGUUGAAACAGUUUGUGAUUCUUGCCAAAGAGCUAAAAGUCAUCAGUUGCCAUAUCCUGUUUCUAUGAGUGUUUCUACUAAACCAUUGCAACUUAUUUUCUCUGAUGUUUGGGGUCGUGCCCCCUUUUCUGUGGGUAGACACACUUAUUACGUAAGUUUUAUUGAUGACUAUAGUAAAUUCUCUUGA